CGUUGGACUGAGUGAACGACCGUUUUUAAAACUUCCUCAAUGCUCAACGGUAGGCGAAGAAAAAAAAAAGUAAUUCCUGAAGGAAAGAAUCAGAAACGACGAUUAAUUAUACGACGUGUCAAGUUAAUAAAUCGAUGUCAGACCUCAAGAACGUGUCACAAUGGGGCAACAUGGAAGUUCGUAAUACACCGAACAAACUCGAGCACCGAAUCACUUUUAUUUGGAUUAUAAAACACGACUGUUGAAAUUCCCGAGCAUGACUUAUGGAAUAAUUUGAAGUUGCAGCGCUUCAUUUUAAAUUAAAUCUAACGUAAUUUGAUAAAAUGGAGAUCCGGUCAAGCGCGGACGAAUUUUUACAGUCGAGAUUUGAUCGUCACGAGAUUCUCAGACGAACUGUCUAAAAAUAAGUGAAACGGUCGAAUAUGUUUAGAAAAUUUGAAUCGACGCCAGGUUUCAUUCCCUCGCGUAACAUUGUGACUGAUGGGAAUUGACGUUUUAAAUCAUCGAUAAUUAAUCGAAAAUUAUAUAACGUUAUAAAAUGGCACCUGCAUCAUUCUAUUUGUAUACUAUUCGUAUAUAUACCGAACGACAAAAUUAUAUCACAAUAAAAAUUGAAUUUCUUCUGCUUUAAUCUA
Cephus cinctus (wheat stem sawfly) is the source of this 635-nucleotide long non-coding RNA. RefSeq lists it as uncharacterized. The record is from RefSeq and is a predicted model, not a curated record. The transcript is spliced from 2 exons. NCBI's taxonomy places the organism in Eukaryota, Metazoa, Arthropoda, Insecta, Hymenoptera, Cephidae.